AACGAACGCUGGCGGCAGGCCUAACACAUGCAAGUCGAACGCCCUAGCAAUGGGGAGUGGCGAGACGGGUGAGUAACACGUGGGAACCUUCCCUGUAGUACGGAACUAGCCCAGGGAAACUUGGAGUAAUACCGUAUACGCCCGAAGGGAAGAUUAUCGCUAUAGGAUGGGCCCGCGUAGGAUUAGCUAGUUGGUGAGGUAAUGGCUCACCAAGGCGACGAUCCUUAGCUGGUUUGAGAGAAC
This 243-nucleotide ribosomal RNA is filed under the name uncultured bacterium. RNAcentral describes it as "partial 16S ribosomal RNA". It matches the Rfam family "Bacterial small subunit ribosomal RNA", at positions 29 to 301 of the family's 1533-position model. The record is from RNAcentral.